Molecule: ribosomal RNA, 244 nt
Filed under: uncultured bacterium
Lineage: Bacteria
Description: partial 16S ribosomal RNA
Rfam family: Bacterial small subunit ribosomal RNA
Source: RNAcentral
UGGCGACCGGCGCACGGGUGAGUAACGCGUAUGCAACCUGCCCGAUACCGGGGUAUAGCCCAUGGAAACGUGGAUUAACACCCCAUAGUACUUUUAUCCUGCAUGGGAUGUGAGUUAAAUGUUCAAGGUAUCGGAUGGGCAUGCGUCCUAUUAGUUAGUUGGCGGGGUAACAGCCCACCAAGACGAUGAUAGGUAGGGGUUCUGAGAGGAAGGUCCCCCACAUUGGGACUGAGACACGGCCCAA